Molecule: transfer RNA, 74 nt
Filed under: Glycocaulis sp.
Lineage: Bacteria; Pseudomonadati; Pseudomonadota; Alphaproteobacteria; Maricaulales; Maricaulaceae
Also listed under: 2 other names
Description: tRNA-Gly
Rfam family: tRNA
About the family: Transfer RNA (tRNA) molecules are approximately 80 nucleotides in length. Their secondary structure includes four short double-helical elements and three loops (D, anti-codon, and T loops).
Source: RNAcentral
GCGGGUGUAAUUCAAUGGUAGAAUGUCAGCCUUCCAAGCUGAAUACGCGGGUUCGAUUCCCGCCACCCGCUCCA